Molecule: ribosomal RNA, 465 nt
Filed under: Triticum aestivum (bread wheat)
Lineage: Eukaryota; Viridiplantae; Streptophyta; Magnoliopsida; Poales; Poaceae
Description: partial small subunit ribosomal RNA
Source: RNAcentral
AUGAGCACGUGGAACUCCGUCGUGACGGCGCACAAGCCCACCAGCGUCAGCCGCUCCUUCGUCGGCGACUUCACCAGCUCAACCUCACCGUCGUAUUGCCAAACCUUCCAGGAAAUGCGCCCGCUCUCACGCCGCAGGCCCUUCAUUCAGGGUGGUGAUGAAGCAAGAGAAGACCUGAUGGUAGGCAACACCACUUUGUUGACGAGUGAUUAUACCAAUCCAGCCAUCUUUUCAUUGAGUUUACUGUCAGAAAAUGCAUACAUCUCUGCAGUUAUUUUACAGAUAAAGCAAUUCAUCAUGAUCUGUACAGUUCAUGUCUACACUCUGAGUAGACAUGAUCUGCAGAGGCAUUUGGUUGAGUUGGUGACAGUCUGGCAGGAUCGUGAAGCGUCCGUGCCUGCGGUACAGGUCUCACAUGGGCCGCAAUUUAUCGAGGUCCGUACCUCUAUGAUGCUCUCGGAUUAA